RNAcentral lists this ribosomal RNA (667 nucleotides) under uncultured fungus. RNAcentral's name for it is "eukaryotic LSU rRNA". The stretch from base 195 to 348 matches the Rfam family "5.8S ribosomal RNA". Lineage: Eukaryota; Fungi. The record is from RNAcentral.
GCGAGGGCUGUCGCUGACCCUUUGGUCGUGCACGCCGGAGUGUGUCCUCUCACAUAACAAUCCAUCUCACCCUUUGUGCACCACCGCGUGGGCACCCUUUGGGAUCACACCGAUCUCAGAUGGGGGCUCACGUUUUCACACAAAAACCCCCUUUUAAAAAGUGUAGAGAAUGUCCUAAUUUAUGCAAUCAAUACAACUUUCAACAACGGAUCUCUUGGCUCUCGCAUCGAUGAAGAACGCAGCGAAAUGCGAUACGUAAUGUGAAUUGCAGAACUCAGUGAAUCAUCGAAUCUUUGAACGCACCUUGCGCCCCUUGGUAUUCCGAGGGGCACACCCGUUUGAGUGUCGUGAAAACCUCAACCUCCUUGGUUUCUUCUGGAGAUCAAAGGAGGCUUGGACUUUGGAGGCCUUUGCUGGCGUCUCUCUCCAGCUCCUCUUGAAUGAAUUANCGGGGUCCUCUUUGCCGACCCUUGACAUGUGAUAAGAUGUUUCCGUGUCUUGGUCUCUGGCUCUGUUGCCUUUGGGACCCGCUUCUAACCGUCUCGACUCGAGACAAUGUUCGAGCCCGUCUCCCUUCUCGGGAAACCCCUCUCGGCCCCACGAACCCUUGGCCUCAAAUCGGGUGAGACUACCCGCUGAACUUAAGCAUAUCAAUAAGGCGGAGGAA